This 5064-nucleotide long non-coding RNA is filed under the name Mus musculus (house mouse). RNAcentral's name for it is "long non-coding RNA chr6:79631068-79636132". The record is from RNAcentral. Lineage: Eukaryota; Metazoa; Chordata; Mammalia; Rodentia; Muridae.
AAAUAAGCUGAUAGUUGUUUUUUCCUAAAACUUUCUCUGCAAGUUUGUGAUCAUUGUGUUUAGCAAAUAACAAAUUGCUUUUUUAUCUUACAAGUAUAGCUAUAAAAGGUAAAACUCUUUAAUUGAUCUAAAUUUAUAAGAUUCAUGUAGCCACUUCAUUUGGUUUUUGAUUGGUCUUAAAGGUAUAAAUAUGAUCUAACAUGUCUUGGUCAUAGAGAAUUGGUUUAUAAGUUAUUUGGGUAUAAUUAAAAAGAUGUAACACUGGUUACAAAGUUAAGUUAAAAGUAGUAACUCAGAGAUAGAGUCAUUUUCAAACAAAAGCACCUGGCAUAAAUCAGCCCAGAGAACUAGUCCUCUAAAGAUACUUCUAAAUUGAGAUAACAUUUUAUGUAAUUCUUAUCCUAAAAGAUAGACUUAUAAAGAUAAGAUUUUAAAACAAUGUCUCUUUAAUAAAACAUUAAAAUUUAAACUGUCAUACAUUAAUAAAAAUUUUGUAACGUAGUAGUGAUGUUUUUAGUAUUGAUUUUAAGGAGAAUAAAUUGUUUAAAAUUGGGUCUUGCUUUCCAAAAGUUAUAGAUAUGUUCUAAUAUUGCAACAAAAACUUAAAAAUUCUGGUUAAAAUUGCCAGUGUCCCAUUGACUGCAGUUUGCAGUUUAAUCAAAAGCUUAAGACUUUUAACUCACCCAUAAUUAAGAUUAUUACUAAAAUAAUCAACUUAUAAGAGUGCUAAUGCUGCUCACUUGGGACAUUCAGCCAUACAAAACAAAGUAAAAUUAACUAGAUAUAUUCAUCUUUGUACAAAAAUUAGACCCUCACACAAUCAGUUUGACUAUGGCUGCGGCCUUGUAGGACCAUAAAAGGUCAUAAAAGAAAAUGUUUAAGGUGUAAGUCAUCUUAAGAAAGAGUGUCCAAAAUCAGAGGCAUGGACAAACAGUUAAAUUGCUCCUUUAGAAUCUGUCCUCAUUGCAGGAGGGCAAGAUGCUCAAAUUAAAAAAAAAAUAUAUACAUUUGGGUUAAUACAAAACUUAAAGCAGCCUUAGAGAAGCUUGUGCAAAGUUUCUUGCGUUUUACAGACUGCGCCUAAAAAAGUUCUUGAAACUUCACCCUCCCUGCCUUCAGGGAGAAUUUCUUUUAGCUAAACAACAUUUUUUCUUUUCAGAUCUACCCAGGUGUUGUUCAUGAUUAAGUCUAAACUCAAGAUUUAUAAAAGGUCAAUCAGGCUAUAAAACUUAUAAAGGCAUUACAAAAUAACUUGCCUACUUCAUGUAAAAUUAUUAUAGAUUUAAAAGUCUAUUUUUUCCAUUUAUAAAGAGUUUACUUCUAGUGAACUGGUGACCAUUAAAGGUUUUUACCCCUAAGUAUGGCUAAUAUAGUCUUAUAUUAUGUAAGAAAUUUUCAUUGUCCAGGCUUCAAUACAAGAAGCAAAAUAGUUUAAAUCUUUCAGUAUAUAUUGUUUCCUAAGUGGAAAGUAUUUUAUUAACUAAUGUCUCUAGAGAGAAGUUUAAAGUUCUGGAAAAUAGUUGUUGCUUCAUAAGAUUCAGAGGCAAUGUCUUUUUUAAUAUCUAGAGUUUUAGUUAUAUUAAAAAAUUGGUACAAAUUUACUUCAAAAUUUUAUUUUCAAAAAGCUUCCAGGAGAUGUUAAUUGACUAAGACCUCACCUUAAAUUCACCACAAGAAAACCUAAGCCUUUGUUAAGUGGUAUCAAGUGAAGUUCAAGUUAACUGGUGAGAACUAAAAAGGCUUUAACAGAAAGUAGAGAAAACUUCUAUAAUAUAUUGAUAUCGAUUGUAAUUGAUGGCAAUCAAAUAUUAGCUACAUAUUCUAGUUAUUGUUAUUAAAUGUGUCCACAGCUAUUCUUUGGCAAGAAAAAACAUUAAUGUAAAAAUCAUCUUUCUUCACCUCAAAGUUUUAACAUCCUAUUAUAUAUAAGGCUGCUGUGGUACUAAUUAAGAAUUAAAAAUUCUUUUUUCCAAACAGCUAUUAGUUAUUACAAAAUAUUGAUAUUUGACCUAUUGCAUACCAUCAUUUUAAAUAAAAUUAAUAUUCAUCUUAAAAAUAAGCUAAUUGCUUAUUAUACAUACUUUUGUAAAUUCAUACAUACAUGCAUCCCAUUUACUGUAUUUAAAAACAACCUUUCUAUGGAAAGAAAAAUAUAUGUAAAUUGGAUCACAUGUUUAUUCUUUUGAGUUUCUGCCUACAUCAGCACAGAUAAUUAAAUUAUGUGCUGUAGAUAGUGUUUUAAAAUGUUAAAGAUUGCCUGGUAAAAACCUCUUAAGGCAAUGCCACGCUAGAUUUCUAUCCCAGGUAAAUUAUAGAUCUUAUAAAAAAAAUAAAUGCCAUAUAAUCUCAUUCUUUACAUCAUCAAAAUAGUAAUGGCUCGAAAUAAUAAUUUGGUAUUUAAAAUAAAUAAAUAAAUAAAUAAAUGUGCAUGUCAUAUUGUAAAGAUUUGAUCUCACUGUCCUCAGUUUCUACCUGUUCCACACAUUGGUAUUAAUUCUUGAGGACGUAUACUUAAUCAAUUAUUACAAAUAGAUACUUUUUAAUUUUACAAAAAUAAAUCAUGCACAUGUGACUAUUGAUACCUUUUUAAUCUUUCUAAUUACAACUGCUCUAAUAAAAAUAGCAACUAAAAGUAUAGUUGCCUAUGUUGAUUUUUUUUACUUGGUGUUCCAAAUCAAUUAAAACUGGCUAUUAUAGCCAAGCAUUUGAGAUGUUUUAUCAACAAUUUAAUGUUAUCCAUGUUACUGAGAUUUUUAUUAUUCCCAAGGAAACAGUACUGUGGAACCUUAAAUCUAUAUCUUUUAAAAAUUUAGAUGUCAAAAAUCUCUCUAAGUGUCUAUGGCACCCUACAAUCAGACAUACUCAUGAGAUAAAGGGAUCCACUUAUUGGCACAUGGUAUGAUCCUGUUCAGAUACUUAAUAUGGGGGAAAGGGGGCAAUAUUUCUGUUUUUUCCACAGAAUGCUACAAGAGCGUGCUAGCUCCCAAAAUGAUUCAUGUGACAGGCUGACCUGUGAGUUCCUGAGUGCCCUGACAGUGGUGACCAGAAAGCUGUAUUGAGUGCACAGAGGAAAAAGAAAUCAGUCAUUCACAAGCAAAAUAAAGAAACUCUUCCUAUCUCCGCCAUGGACUACAACAAGGAGAGUAGACCUGGUGUCAACUUGGAGACAACUAAAACAGCUGACUUGUGAGGUGGAAGGACUGCUACAAAGUAUUGGACAAGAUUUCAUCAGAGACUGUUUUUGGCCAUUCAGGCCAACUCCCCUAUAGCUGUAAAAGCUUGUGUACCUUACCUGUAUGCUUAUUGUUAGAUAAUUUUAAGAGUUAAGAUCACCAAUCUUAACAAGUCUUUUUAUAUACAUUGUAAUUCCUGUCAAUUAACUAAUUGUGUAGAUCCUAAUUUAAAUAAGGAAUCUACUGUUAUGAUUUUGUUAAAAAGAUUCUGCUUAUGUUUUACUGCCUGUAGAGUUAGGAAACGAUCCUUGGUUUGAGAAUUCGGGAUUGCAAGCUUUAAAAAGACUAAAAGAACUUAUUAGACCUAAGAGAUUUGUAGCAGCUUUGAUCCUGGGAAUUACUGCUUUAAUUGCUAUUUUAACUACCCUUACAAUAUCCACCACAGCCUUAGUACAACAACUGCAUACUGCUCAUUUUGUUAAUGACAUGCAUAAGAAUAUCUCUGUAGCCUUGUCAGAGUUGUAUUUUAUAGAUAAAAAAUUGGAAGCAAAGGUUAACGCCCUAAAAAAAGUCAUGCUGGCAAUAGGGCAAGAUAUUGCUAAUAUCAAGACCAGGUUAGCUACUAAAUGUCAUGCUUCUUUCCAAUACAUUUGUGUUACUCCAUUACCUUACAACGCCACGACUAACUGGGAAAAGACAAAAACUCAUUUACAGGGUAUAUGGAAAGAUACUGAUAUUUCUCAUGACUUAGAACAGUUAAAGGUAAAAAUUUCAGAUAUUAGUAAAAGCCAUCUGGACACUUGGAACAUUGAUGAAUUGGCUAGAGAUUUAAAGAACAACUUAAGUGCAUUAAACCCUCUGGAUUGGGUUCAAUAUAUUAUCCUACUUGUUAUUAUUUUUGGCAUUACUUUAUUAGUAAUCAUUGUGUUUCCACUCAUCUUUAGAGUGCUCCUGAGAUCUGUAGCUACGACGAAGCGGGACAUCCUGGAACUUCGACUGAGAAAUAAAGAUAAAUUAUCAAUUAUUAAAAAAAAAAAGGGUGGAAUGCCAGGGACUCUGGUGGAGUCAGCUUGACAAAGCGAAAGCUGGGAAGCUGAUUCAUGAAGCAAAGAGUUUCAAGGAAACUCCCUUCCCGGGGCUUGGCAUUUUCUCCCUAAUCUAUAUAAACCAUAAAAUUAAUUUUUCCAUUCCCACAUUAGUCUAGUGUAUAGAUCCACGUGCACUCUAUAUAGUAUUACCUUAUAGUAAAUGCCUUUUAAGAUUGUAUUCUAACAUAGCUAAAGCCUUUUUCCAGUGUUCUUAGAUUCCAGAUAGCAGCAAGGAGCUUAACCUAUUCAGUUAACAAUUAAGCACUUGCCAUUUUACUCAGCUGUUUACAGAUAGAGACUAAAAGCCUCACUGAGAUAGAAAUCUUUUACUACAGGCUACUUCCAUGUCAAGUAUAAGUUGAUAUACUACCCUGAUAAGGGGAAACUCUCCAGACAAGAUAAGUUUUAUUAGACCUAAGAAUUUAGAGCUCUGUGAUAGCGCAUUACUCUUAAGGCCUGUCAAGAGUUAACAACCCCCUGAUGCUUUUAACAUUAAAGUGUGAAAUUCUUGCCUGGCAUUAGGCUGAUCCUAGGCAGGGCUUGUUAUCCCUAAUGUAAACAUUUAACUAGUCCCUGUAAAUUCCUUUCUGCUGUAACUGGUGAAUUUCAGUGUAUCUUGUCUUUUUGUGAUUUGUAUCUUCUGAUAAUUCGUUGUUAUAUAAGUCUGAAGCUCAACCAGAACAUUACAUUCAGAUUCAACACAUUUCUCGUGUAAUCUGUCUGUCAUUUUCAUCCGGAAUCUUUGUCCAUCUGCCUAAGAAAUCCCGUUCUUCACAGACCAGGGACCCAGAUUGUCUGUGGCA